CAGCCGCCGCGGUAAUACGGAGGGAGCUAGCGUUGUUCGGAAUUACUGGGCGUAAAGCGCACGUAGGCGGCUUUGUAAGUUAGAGGUGAAAGCCUGGAGCUCAACUUCAGAAUUGCCUUUAAGACUGCAUCGCUUGAAUCCAGGAGAGGUGAGUGGAAUUCCGAGUGUAGAGGUGAAAUUCGUAGAUAUUCGGAAGAACACCAGUGGCGAAGGCGGCUCACUGGACUGGUAUUGACGCUGAGGUGCGAAAGCGUGGGGAGCAAACAGGAUUAGAUACCCCAGUAGUCCCUGUCUCUUAUAC
This 301-nucleotide ribosomal RNA is filed under the name uncultured bacterium. RNAcentral's name for it is "partial 16S ribosomal RNA". It matches the Rfam family "Bacterial small subunit ribosomal RNA", at positions 509 to 807 of the family's 1533-position model. The record is from RNAcentral.